AACGAACGCUGGCGGCAUGCCUAACACAUGCAAGUCGAACGAAACCUUCGGGUCUAGUUGCGCACGGGUGCGUAACGCGUGGGAACCUGCCCUUAGGUUCGGAAUAACUCCCCGAAAGGGGUGCUAAUACCGGAUAAUGUCUUCGGACCAAAGAUUUAUCGCCUUUGGAUGGGCCCGCGUUGGAUUAGCUAGUUGGUAGGGUAAAAGCCUACCAAGGCGACGAUACAUAGCUGGUCUGAGAGGAUGAUCAGCCACACUGGGAGUGAGACACGGCCCAGACUCCUACGGGAGGAAGCAGUGGGGAAUAUUGGACAAUGGGCGACAGCCUGAUCAAGCAAUGCCGCGUGAGUGAUGAAGGCCUUAGGGUUGUAAAGCUCUUUUACCCGGGAUGAUAAUGACAGUACCGGGAGAAUAAGCUCCGGCUAACUCCGUG
Molecule: ribosomal RNA, 433 nt
Filed under: uncultured bacterium
Lineage: Bacteria
Description: partial 16S ribosomal RNA
Rfam family: Bacterial small subunit ribosomal RNA
Source: RNAcentral